AUUGAACGCUGGCGGCAGGCUUAACACAUGCAAGUCGAACGAGUGGCGGACGGGUGAGUAAUGUCUGGGAAACUCCCUUAUGGAGGGGGAUAACUACUGGAAACGGUAGCUAAUACCGCAUACCAUCGGAUGUGCCCAGAUGGGAUUAGCUAGUUGGUGGGGUAACGGCUCACCUAGGCGACGAUCCCUAGCUGGUCUGAGAGGAUGACCAGCCACACGGGGACUGAGACACGGCCCAGACUCCUACGGGAGGCAGCAGUGGGGAAUAUUGCGCAAUGGGCGCAAGCCUGAUGCAGCCAUGCCGCGUGUAUGAAGAAGGCCUUCGGGUUGUAAAGUACUUUCGGCGGGGAGGCGUUACUCGCAGAAGAAGCACCGGCUAACUCCGUGCCAGCAGCCGCGGUAAUUC
This 406-nucleotide ribosomal RNA is filed under the name uncultured bacterium. Its description in RNAcentral is "partial 16S ribosomal RNA". It matches the Rfam family "Bacterial small subunit ribosomal RNA", at positions 30 to 526 of the family's 1533-position model. The record is from RNAcentral.